This 723-nucleotide ribosomal RNA is filed under the name uncultured bacterium. RNAcentral's name for it is "bacterial SSU rRNA". It matches the Rfam family "Bacterial small subunit ribosomal RNA", at positions 33 to 751 of the family's 1533-position model. The record is from RNAcentral.
ACGCUGGCGGCAGGCCUAACACAUGCAAGUCGAGCGGUAGAGAGAAGCUUGCUUCUCUUGAGAGCGGCGGACGGGUGAGUAAUGCCUAGGAAUCUGCCUGGUAGUGGGGGAUAACGUUCGGAAACGGACGCUAAUACCGCAUACGUCCUACGGGAGAAAGCAGGGGACCUUCGGGCCUUGCGCUAUCAGAUGAGCCUAGGUCGGAUUAGCUAGUUGGUGGGGUAAUGGCUCACCAAGGCGACGAUCCGUAACUGGUCUGAGAGGAUGAUCAGUCACACUGGAACUGAGACACGGUCCAGACUCCUACGGGAGGCAGCAGUGGGGAAUAUUGGACAAUGGGCGAAAGCCUGAUCCAGCCAUGCCGCGUGUGUGAAGAAGGUCUUCGGAUUGUAAAGCACUUUAAGUUGGGAGGAAGGGCAGUUGCCUAAUACGUAACUGUUUUGACGUUACCGACAGAAUAAGCACCGGCUAACUCUGUGCCAGCAGCCGCGGUAAUACAGAGGGUGCAAGCGUUAAUCGGAAUUACUGGGCGUAAAGCGCGCGUAGGUGGUUUGUUAAGUUGGAUGUGAAAUCCCCGGGCUCAACCUGGGAACUGCAUUCAAAACUGACUGACUAGAGUAUGGUAGAGGGUGGUGGAAUUUCCUGUGUAGCGGUGAAAUGCGUAGAUAUAGGAAGGAACACCAGUGGCGAAGGCGACCACCUGGACUAAUACUGACACUGAGG